Molecule: ribosomal RNA, 377 nt
Filed under: uncultured eukaryote
Lineage: Eukaryota
Description: partial 18S ribosomal RNA
Rfam family: Eukaryotic small subunit ribosomal RNA
Source: RNAcentral
CAAUAGCGUAUAUUAAAGUUGUUGCAGUUAAAAAGCUCGUAGUUGGAUUUCGGGGCAGCCUGGCUGGUCCGCCGCAAGGCGAGUACUGGUCAGCCGCCCUUCCUCUCGAAAGCCCCGACUGCUCUUCGUUGCAGUGGUCGGGUAGUUCGGGACGUUUACUUUGAAAAAAUUAGAGUGUUCAAGGCAGGCCUACGCCUGAAUACAUUAGCAUGGAAUAAUGGAAGAGGACCUCGGUCCUAUUUUGUUGGUUUCCAGGGCCGAAGUAAUGAUUAAGAGGGACAGUUGGGGGCAUUCGUAUUUAAUUGUCAGAGGUGAAAUUCUCGGAUUUAUGAAAGACGAACAACUGCGAAAGCAUUCGCCAAGGAUGUUUUCAUUAA